RNAcentral lists this ribosomal RNA (443 nucleotides) under uncultured Streptococcus sp. Its description in RNAcentral is "bacterial SSU rRNA". It matches the Rfam family "Bacterial small subunit ribosomal RNA", at positions 938 to 1382 of the family's 1533-position model. The record is from RNAcentral. Lineage: Bacteria; Bacillati; Bacillota; Bacilli; Lactobacillales; Streptococcaceae.
UAUGUGGUUUAAUUCGAAGCAACGCGAAGAACCUUACCAGGUCUUGACAUCCCGAUGCUAUUUCUAGAGAUAGAAAGUUACUUCGGUACAUCGGUGACAGGUGGUGCAUGGUUGUCGUCAGCUCGUGUCGUGAGAUGUUGGGUUAAGUCCCGCAACGAGCGCAACCCCUAUUGUUAGUUGCCAUCAUUCAGUUGGGCACUCUAGCGAGACUGCCGGUAAUAAACCGGAGGAAGGUGGGGAUGACGUCAAAUCAUCAUGCCCCUUAUGACCUGGGCUACACACGUGCUACAAUGGUUGGUACAACGAGUUGCGAGUCGGUGACGGCGAGCUAAUCUCUUAAAGCCAAUCUCAGUUCGGAUUGUAGGCUGCAACUCGCCUACAUGAAGUCGGAAUCGCUAGUAAUCGCGGAUCAGCACGCCGCGGUGAAUACGUUCCCGGGCCUU